Molecule: ribosomal RNA, 357 nt
Filed under: uncultured bacterium
Lineage: Bacteria
Description: bacterial SSU rRNA
Rfam family: Bacterial small subunit ribosomal RNA
Source: RNAcentral
AAUCAACGCUGGCGGCGUGCCUCAGACAUGCAAGUCGAACGCGAAAGUUCCCUUCGGGGGGCGAGUAGAGUGGCGCACGGGUGAGUAACACGUAGGUAAUCUACCUUUGGGUGGGGAAUAACAGCCGGAAACGGCUGCUAAUACCGCAUAAUGCAGCGGCUCGACAUCGAGACAGUUGUUAAAGCGGGGGAUCGCAAGACCUCGCGCCUAAAGAGGAGCCUGCGGCGGAUUAGCUUGUUGGUGAGGUAAUGGCUCACCAAGGCAUCGAUCCGUAGCCGGCCUGAGAGGGCGGUCGGCCACACUGACACUGACAUACGGGUCAGACUCCUACGGGAGGCAGCAGUCGGGAAUUUUGGG